UAUUUAUUUUAGUCAAUAUUUUAAAAUAAAUGGUGAUUUAUAUUUUUAUAAAUAUUUAAGUUUUAUAUUGAUUUUGUAGUAACUAAAAAUUAAUAUAAAAUUUAAUCUUAUUUAAAAUGUAAAUAUUAAUGAUUUAUAAAAAUUAAUAUUUUUUAAAUAGUUAUAAAUAAGUAUUUAACAUACUUUUAUAAUACUAUUUAUAUUUAAGUUUAAGAUUUAAAUAAAUAUCAUUUUAAAAAAAAAAUUUAUAAUAAUAUAAUUUAUAUUAUAAUUUUUUAUAAUAUAAAUUAUCUUAUAAAAUAUAAAUUUUUAUAAAUUUAUCACUAUUGAUGACCAAAGCGGGAAUAAUUUUAAUAAUAUAUGCUCUCGCGCUGUUAGAUGAGCCUAGACGAGAUUAGCUUGUUGGUAAGGUAAAGGCUUACCAAGGCCACGAUCUCUAGUUGGUCUGAGAGGAUGACCAGCCACACUGGAACUGAGAUACGGUCCAGACUCUUACGGGAGGCAGCAGUGGGGAAUAUUGCACAAUGGGCGCAAGCCUGAUGCAGCUAUGUCGCGUGUAUGAAGAAGACCUUAGGGUUGUAAAGUACUUUCGAUAGCAUAAGAAGAUAAUAAAAUUAAUAAUUUUAUUGUCAGACGUUAGCUAUAGAAGAAGCACCGGCUAACUCCGUGCCAGCAGCCGCGGUAAUACGGGGGGUGCUAGCGUUAAUCGGAAUUACUGGGCGUAAAGAGCAUGUAGGUGGUUUAUUAAGUCAGAUGUGAAAUCCCUAGACUUAAUUUAGGAACUGCAUUUGAAACUAAUAGGCUAGAGUUUCGUAGAGGGAGGUAGAAUUCUAGGUGUAGCGGUGAAAUGCAUAGAUAUCUAGAGGAAUAUCAGUGGCGAAGGCGGCCUCCUGGACGAUAACUGACGCUCAAAUGCGAAAGCAUGGGUAGCAAACAGGAUUAGAUACCCUGGUAGUCCAUGCUGUAAACGAUGUCGACUAAGAGGUUGGAAGCAAGACUUUUAAUCUCUGUAGCUAACGCGUUAAGUCGACCGCCUGGGGAGUACGGUCGCAAGGCUAAAACUCAAAUGAAUUGACGGGGGCCUGCACAAGCGGUGGAGCAUGUGGUUUAAUUCGAUGCAACGCGUAAAACCUUACCUGGUCUUGACAUCCACAAAAUUUUACAGAAAUGUAGAAGUGCAAUUUGAAUUGUGAGACAGGUGCUGCAUGGCUGUCGUCAGCUCGUGUUGUGAAAUGUUGGGUUAAGUCCCGCAACGAGCGCAACCCUUGUUCUUUGUUGCCAUAGAAUUUUAUUUAUUCAGGAACUCAAAGGAGACUGCCAGUGAUAAACUGGAGGAAGGUGGGGACGACGUCAAGUCAUCAUGGCCCUUAUGACCAGGGCUACACACGUGCUACAAUGGCAUAUACAAAGAGAUGCAAUAUUGCAAAAUAAAGCCAAUCUUAUAAAAUAUGUCUUAGUUCGGACUGGAGUCUGCAACUCGACUCCACGAAGUCGGAAUCGCUAGUAAUCGUGGAUCAGCAUGCCACGGUGAAUAUGUUUCCAGGCCUUGUACACACCGCCCGUCACACCAUGGGAGUGGUUUGCAAAAGAAGUAAGAAAAUUAACCUUCUUAACAAGGAAAUAACUUACCACUUUGUGACUCAUAA
Molecule: ribosomal RNA, 1646 nt
Filed under: Candidatus Annandia pinicola
Lineage: Bacteria; Pseudomonadati; Pseudomonadota; Gammaproteobacteria; Enterobacterales; Enterobacteriaceae
Description: partial 16S ribosomal RNA
Rfam family: Bacterial small subunit ribosomal RNA (bases 292-1646)
Source: RNAcentral